Molecule: unclassified non-coding RNA, 314 nt
Filed under: plant metagenome
Description: partial contains 5.8S ribosomal RNA, internal transcribed spacer 2, and large subunit ribosomal RNA
Rfam family: 5.8S ribosomal RNA (bases 1-105)
Source: RNAcentral
GAACUGCGAUAAGUAAUGUGAAUUGCAGAAUUCAGUGAAUCAUCGAGUCUUUGAACGCAGAUUGCGCCCCCUGGCAUUCCGGGGGGCAUGCCUGUCCGAGCGUCAUUGCUGCCCUUCAAGCCCGGCUUGUGUGUUGGGUCGUCGUCCCCUCCGGGGGACGGGCCCGAAAGGCAGCGGCGGCACCGCGUCCGGUCCUCGAGCGUAUGGGGCUUUGUCACCCGCUCGAUAAGGACCGGCCGGGCGCCAGCCGGCGUCUCCAACCUUUUUUUCUCAGGUUGACCUCGGAUCAGGUAGGGAUACCCGCUGAACUUAAG